CGAACGGGUGAGUAACACGUGAGUAACCUGCCCUUGACUUUGGGAUAACUUCGGGAAACCGGAGCUAAUACCGGAUAAUAUAUUGAACCGUAUGGUUCAAUAGUGAAAGACGGUUUUGCUGUCACUUAUAGAUGGAUCCGCGCCGCAUUAGCUAGUUGGUAAGGUAACGGCUUACCAAGGCAACGAUGCGUAGCCGACCUGAGAGGGUGAUCGGCCACACUGGAACUGAGACACGGUCCAG
Molecule: ribosomal RNA, 241 nt
Filed under: uncultured Staphylococcus sp.
Lineage: Bacteria; Bacillati; Bacillota; Bacilli; Caryophanales; Staphylococcaceae
Description: partial 16S ribosomal RNA
Rfam family: Bacterial small subunit ribosomal RNA
Source: RNAcentral